RNAcentral lists this ribosomal RNA (484 nucleotides) under uncultured bacterium. RNAcentral's name for it is "partial 16S ribosomal RNA". It matches the Rfam family "Bacterial small subunit ribosomal RNA", at positions 30 to 507 of the family's 1533-position model. The record is from RNAcentral.
AUUGAACGCUGGCGGCAUGCCUAACACAUGCAAGUCGAGCGAAUGAAGGGAGCUUGCUCCUCUCUUCCGCUGCGGACGGGUGAGUAAUGCCUACGUAUCUGCCUUGUAUUUGGGGCUAACGUCCGUUCACGGGCGCUAAUACCGCAUACGUCCUGAUGUUGAACGUGGUGGAUCUUCGGACCUCACGCUAUCUGAUGAGCCUAGGUCGGAUUAGCUAGUUGGUGGGGUAAAGGCCUACCAAGGCGACGAUCCGUAACUGGUCUGAGAGGAUGAUCAGUCACACUGGAACUGAGACACGGUCCAGACUCCUACGGGAGGCAGCAGUGGGGAAUAUUGGACAAUGGGCGAAAGCCUGAUCCAGCCAUGCCGCGUGUGUGAAGAAGGUCUUCGGAUUGUAAAGCACUUUAAGUUGGGAGGAAGGGCAGUAAGUUAAUACCUUGCUGUUUUGACGUUACCAACAGAAUAAGCACCGGCUAACUUCGUG